Molecule: ribosomal RNA, 253 nt
Filed under: uncultured bacterium
Lineage: Bacteria
Description: partial 16S ribosomal RNA
Rfam family: Bacterial small subunit ribosomal RNA
Source: RNAcentral
UACAGAGGUCUCAAGCGUUGUUCGGAUUCAUUGGGCGUAAAGCGCGCGUAGGUGGCCCCGUAAGUCCGCUGUGAAAGUCAAAGGCUCAACCUUUGAAAGCCGGUGGAUACUGUGGGACUAGAGUACGGAAGAGGCGAGUGGAAUUCCUGGUGUAGCGGUGGAAUGCGCAGAUAUCAGGAGGAACACCAAUAGCGAAGGCAGCUCGCUGGGACGUUACUGACACUGAGGCGCGAAAGCGUGGGGAGCGAACAGG